Mercenaria mercenaria is the source of this 1993-nucleotide long non-coding RNA. RefSeq lists it as uncharacterized. Lineage: Eukaryota; Metazoa; Mollusca; Bivalvia; Venerida; Veneridae. The transcript is spliced from 4 exons. The record is from RefSeq and is a predicted model, not a curated record.
UUUACACUGUUUAUGUUCUGGACAAAGAAAGAUGGCGUUUUGGCUUUGUUUCAUGUAGUAACUAACUGAAAGCGUAAUAGAUGCCUAUGUGAAGUGAGAUGAUUGCCUUUCGGAAACACUGUGUAAUUUUGGACAAAAGGUAUGAAGUUGAAAAGUCAAAAGUUAGUGUAUACCAAGACCAGAAAUGAAGCUAAGAUAGAGACAGACAUAGUACAGGUCAUGUAACAGAUGGUUAGUCACAGGGUUAGUAAUCCUUAUGCUGGACAUGAGUAUCAAGAUCUGCACUGUUUGCCACAUAGUCAGUAUAUUUUUGGCGUGGACAGAAUGUUGUUGUGGUGACUUUGUUCAAGUUACAUAUUCUGACAAAGAUGGUAAAGCAGUGGCAGACAGAGUUGUGUGACAUUGUGUAUGUUUCGUUUGUUAGAGCCCAUGCACAGACAGAAGAAAAGCCAAGUUGCCACUCUUGCAGCCAGUUGAACACAAUAAUCCACUUCAUGUGCAUAAUCUACAAAUUCCACAUCAUCCAAGAGUAGACAACAUUCCAUGUAUUCCAGUUAAGCAUGUGGAAGUAUUUGAACAGAACACCAAAGACUAGGGUAACAUAAUCCAAUAUGGCACCAGGAAACUGCAUCACUUCUUGGACAGUUUAUAAUAAGACAGGCUCCUAUAAGAAAGAAAUUUGUCAAUAGUGUUCUUACGCUCAAACUAUUUACAAGUGCCAAAAUAAGUUAUUGAAAAUUACAAUGAAAAGGUGGCAUGCAAUAUGUAUAGAAAAAGGAAAAACUACAAUAGCAUCAAUGCGCAUGGUUUUGUUGUCAACCAAGACUUUCCGUAUAUUGUGGCAUCACCAGACCAUAAAACUUGUGACAAUUCCUUCAUUGGAAUUCUUGAAAUUAAGUGUCCAUUCUUUCUAAGAGACUAACAGACUCAACAUCGGAAGAUGUAAGUAAAUCCCAAAAGCUAUGCUUAGAAAAAGUUGGGGAAAAUGUAAGGAUAGAAGUCACACAUCCAUACUAGUAUCUACGGUGCCCCUAAAGUGACAUGUUACACACAUUUUUUCCAAUUAGGUAAUUUGAGACUUUUUUUUAUUUCGUUUAAACGAAAUAACUUAUUAAGUUGAAAUCAUUAAGUUUAAAGUUUAAAAGAAGUCAACAAGUUUAAGUUUAAAUGAAAUCAUAAGUUAUUUCAUUUAAACGAAAUGAUUAUUUCAUUUAAUUUCAUUUAAACAAAAUAAGUUAUUUCGUUUAAACGAAAUGAUUAUUUCGUUUAACGAAAUGAUUUCGUUUAAACGAAAUAAAAAAAAGUCUCACAUUACCUAAUUGGAAAAAAUGUAACAUGUCACUUUAGGGGCACCGUAAGUAUCAAAUCGAGGGACAGCUUAAUAAUUAACAGCAGCAGAUUUCUGUGACUUUGUUCUGUAUACUAGACCGGACAUAUUCAAAGAGUGAUGCCAGACAAGUUACAAUGGAUGGAAUACUAUUAACCCUUACCUGCUAAAUUUCAAUAAUGAACUUGUCCAUCUUUCAAUUUGGACAACCAUUAACUGUUAAAAGGGGUGCUGACUAAAGAGUAUGAAUGGUGAGCAAUGCAAAUCUUGAUCAAACUGCACAGAUGUGCAGGCUGAUCAUGAUCUACACUGGUCACAAAGGCAGAAUUAAUCAAGUCCAGCAUAAUAAGGGUUAAAAUGAGUGGUCUACAGUAAGUUUGUUUUUAAGUAGUAUAGUAUAGUAUAGUUACCUUUUGAUGUAUCUAUACUGCUUGAAGCUGGCUCCGAUGUUGGUAUUUCUGCAGAUCCAUUCGAUGUUUGAUAAAUUUGGUUCUGUUGAUUACAGUAAAUAAAUUAUUCAGUAGAUAAAAUAACAAAGGAUACUAAUUUAUAAAAUGCAUAUAUUGAAUACUAAUUUAUAAAAUGCAUUUAUAAUAUGACUGUUAAACUGUUCAAUUUUUAAAUUGUUUUGCAUAGAUAUUUAUUUGCGUUUACAUUACAUGAUUA